This is a long non-coding RNA of Thalassophryne amazonica, 127 nucleotides long. RefSeq lists it as uncharacterized. The transcript has 4 exons. The record is from RefSeq and is a predicted model, not a curated record. NCBI's taxonomy places the organism in Eukaryota, Metazoa, Chordata, Actinopteri, Batrachoidiformes, Batrachoididae.
CUGUGGUGCAUAAUGCGUAACUAACGCUUUUUCCCCAAAAUAUGCCUAAAAUCUCUUUGAGGAUGACAUAGCGUAAAUUACACUCAUAAAACCUUCUUACCUCUCAAUCAGGUCAUGCUUUCCACAU